AAUUCACGCGAUCUUGCUUGUCAGGUGUGUGGACAUUUUGCUUUUCUUAAUUUCAUAGUUUUAUGAAGCAAUAUCAUUGGAAGUUUUUGUUUGUUUAGUGACUAACUGAUAACCCCAAGGCAAUUAAAGACAAACUAUUGAGGCUUUUGGGUUGAGGGCUGCUGCAUGGGCUAAACAAUUAAUGUCAUGAAGCUGGGAAUGUAAGAUUAAGGUGUCUACUGCAAAUUGCAAUAAA
RNAcentral lists this unclassified non-coding RNA (235 nucleotides) under Hevea brasiliensis (rubber tree). The record is from RNAcentral. Lineage: Eukaryota; Viridiplantae; Streptophyta; Magnoliopsida; Malpighiales; Euphorbiaceae.